CAUUUCAAAGCCCAAUUUUGUGAAGGUGGGUAUAGCCCUUCUAUUCUGAGUUAGUAGGUUAGCUGUCCUAAUGGAAUAAACGCAUAGCCUACGAACAAGUAUAACAGCAAGAUGAUCUGUCCUGUUUUUUGUGGUUUUUGUUUUUCUUACAGUGGAUUCACAGAGACCCACAUGUCUAAUUGUUGCUCCAAAUAUAAUUCACGUGGGAGUGGAAGAGACUGUGAGUGUGCAGCUUCAUGGAGCAACUAAAGGAACCAGUAUGCAGCUAUACUUUCAAGACCAGAUCUCUCAAAAAAAAUGUGUCCGAAAAGAAAUCUAUAAUCCUUAAGGACAAUAACUACCAGGCUGUGAUAAAACUUAAGGUUCAUCGCAGCUUGUAUGGAAGUACAAAAGUGCAAGAGUAUGUUCAGCUUGCAGCCACAAGCAAUGAUGUCUUUGGGGACAAAGACGGAAAUGCAAAAAAAGCCAGCAUUUUUUUGUCAACAAAAAGAGGGUACGUUUUCAUCCAAACAGACAAGCCAAUUUAUAAUCCAGGA
Molecule: long non-coding RNA, 536 nt
Organism: Sinocyclocheilus rhinocerous
Lineage: Eukaryota; Metazoa; Chordata; Actinopteri; Cypriniformes; Cyprinidae
Exons: 3
Source: RefSeq, a predicted model, not a curated record